UUCCUUUCUCGCUGAGUUAAAGAGGAACCCUGGGUCACUUCAGCCUGUCAUGCCUCUGUCAUCUCCACUCACCCAUGCAGAAGGGGGGCCUUCGGGGAGGAAGCCUGUGCUGUGCAUGGGAGAUUUGUGCAGAAUCCUGCUGCUGUGUAUGACAACACGGGGGUCCCCCUGUGCACUCCCCUGUCUCCAGGGUAGGCCCAGGUGUGGGGGAGCCCAGCUCCCCAUCAGAGGUAAAUUGCAGCCAGCCUCCUUUGGGAAAAAGCAUGGAUUAUUACUGCUGUCAGCUGGGACCAGGCUUGGCUGAAAGGCUGAACUGGGGACCAUGGGAUAGGAGAUUUUAGGGUAGCACCCUGCUGAUUCCUACCGUUGCCUUUUCCUUUUUUCACUUCUUAAAUCCUGAGCUUUACAUUUAAUAAUAACAGCUUCCUUUAUUAAGCUUUUGUAUGCCAGCUUAGUAUUGCAUGAAAUCCUCACAACCCCAGGAGAUGGCUUUGUUGUUACCAUCACUUAACAGAGAUAGACAUGCUGAGAAACUGAAUAAGUACAUGGUGUGGCAGCAGUUUUGUGAUAAUGUCACUUAAUUCUUUCAGUUCCUUCUGAGUUCUGUGCCAAACAUGACAACUCAAUUAGCUCUUUCUUCAGUUGUAUUGAAAAUAAAGAAUUGGAAAGUAUCUGACUUACAAAAUAAAUUGUUAUUCAACCCUUGA
Molecule: long non-coding RNA, 707 nt
Organism: Bubalus bubalis (water buffalo)
Lineage: Eukaryota; Metazoa; Chordata; Mammalia; Artiodactyla; Bovidae
Exons: 2
Source: RefSeq, a predicted model, not a curated record